AUCUACAAACCGAGAACAAACUGCAUUUGCUCUAUUUGAUGCAUUACAUGUUUGAAUUACGCCAUGCAUGCAAACACAUGGACAUUUUUUUUUUGCGAGAACAAACACAUGGACAUUUUUUUUCUGCGAGAACAAACACAUGGACAGUUUCAAAUUUGGACCAAGCAGAUCAUGAGAAUCCACAGCAACAUAUCAUGUACUUAUUUGUCCGAGACAAAAUUCUAGCAAUCUUCCUGCCUCCUCCCUACGUUGGGAUUUUCUAGACUGGGUUACCGCCGGCUUUGGUAUGAAAAUACAUCGCGGGAAAAUGGAAAUGGAUGCCCUUCAUGAACAGUUCAGAUAAACUGCAUCCUUUUUCAGACCAUGCACUUGAAUGUUCUGCAAUCUGAUUCAGUAAGCAUACUGUAAAUGCACAUGGUGAUUAAACAGCCUUCAGCUUCUAACAGUACAGUUGAAAGCUCUACUUCCAACAUAUUCACACAAGAACUUGGAAUCGAAACGAGCAAAAGUAAUUACCGUAAGGUCUAACCAAUGAAAGGCAUCUAGGUUUGCACCUCAUCCGAAGAAUCCUGAAACGUUUUCAUCUGGGCUGAAGAAUACAUUUGAUACUGUCACAUUCUGUAACUUCAACAGUAGUUAAGACUUGAAAGUGAGCGCACACCUGCCAAGCUUAACAAAGCAGAAAUGAUAAACAUAAAAUAUUUACAGGUUGGGAUUUUGCACCAGGCAAGGUGUACCGCACGGAAUCAAAGCAACGGCGCCUGCAUGAUGACUGGACGCUAACGUGGAGUUCUUUGCGGCCACAAAUAUAAUUUAGGCAUGACGACUUUAUCUUUAUCUUCAGAGCCGGCUACAGAAUCAUUCUACACUUCUGCACUAAAUCCUCACUCUACUCUACUAGUGCCCACUGGCAGAAUAUCAGGUAAUAUGUUGCUGCAUCUUGAUCAGAAUCUCUGGGCUGAAAGCUUACUUCUCGUUGAAGUUUCUUCUCACUCAAGGUUCUAGCACCACGGUAUUCGACAGCGUAGGCCGCGGUUUUGCAGAAUGGGCAGCUGCAUUGCUAGUUAAGGGCCCAAGGUGAUUCAGAUGCCAAAUUGAGCUAGAAAACUGUCAUAUUUUAGGCCCAGUGCAUUAACGAAUCAACUUAAAAUUAUCCUGUAUAAACUGUCAGAAGUAUGAAGUGGAAGCAUUAUUUGACAACCUUUUUAGAAUCAUGAUGACAGUGAAAAAACUUAUCUGAGGUGAAGCAUUCUCUUAGAAGACUAUUCUUUCUUUGCAAACGGGAUCAGGGCGGAGUGGAUAGCCGUGAUGCGCCGAUAGUGACGUCGCUUUCGGCAGAAGCAGAAUUCCAAACUGAACUGAAAAAAUAGAUAGAGAAAUGAAAAAGCUUAGUUUCUGAAUAUAAUUUUCAGUGUCAAUGAGGGUCCAACUUGAACCCGGGUCUCUCGGGUGAGAGCCGAGUAUCCUAACCACCUAGACAACGACGGAUUUAUGAUACUUCAUAUUAGAAGAAAUGUGUUUGUGCAAACCACACAAAAUUAGCAAGGUCAACUCAUAUUCUUGACAUCACAAAACAGCACGAACGAUAGCACAACUGAUUCAAACGUAUUAUCGCAAAGAAUGGGAAAGAAAAAUCAGGUAUUUAUCGUCAGGUCUAACAAAUGAAUUGCAUCUAGGUUGCACCUCAUCCGAAGAAUCCUGGAACUAGCAAAAAGUUUUCAUCUGGGCUGAAGAAUACAUUUGAAUUGAGACUGUCAUUUGUAACUUUGAUAGUACUACUCCAUCCGUUCCUCAAUAUAAGUUUUUUUUAGAGAUUUCAUUAAGGGUCUACAUACGAAGCAAAAUGAGUGAAUUUAUAUUUUAAAACAUGUCUAUAUAUAUUCGUAUGUAGUGUCUUAGUGGAACCUC
RNAcentral lists this long non-coding RNA (1908 nucleotides) under Hordeum vulgare. Its description in RNAcentral is "long non-coding RNA (HVUL_LNC020539)". Lineage: Eukaryota; Viridiplantae; Streptophyta; Magnoliopsida; Poales; Poaceae. The record is from RNAcentral.